This 388-nucleotide ribosomal RNA is filed under the name uncultured bacterium. RNAcentral's name for it is "bacterial SSU rRNA". It matches the Rfam family "Bacterial small subunit ribosomal RNA", at positions 29 to 437 of the family's 1533-position model. The record is from RNAcentral.
AUUGAACGCUGGCGGCAUGGCUAAAACAUGCAAGUCGAACGAGAACCUCGCAAGAGGGGACAGUGGCGGAAGGGUCAGUAAUGCGAUCGAAUGUACCCCGAGGUGGGGGAUAGGUCGGGGAAACCCGGCGUAAUACCCCAUGUGCUCUCCGGAGCAAAGAUUCAUCGCCUUGGGAGCAGCGGUCGUCCUAUCAGGUAGUUGGCGGGGUAAGAGCCCACCAAGCCGAAGACGGGUAGCGGGNGUGAGAGCACGGCCCGCGACAUCGGGACUGAGACACUGCCCGGACUCCUACGGGAGGCUGCAGUAACGAAUAUUCCGCAAUGGGCGCAAGCCUGACGGAGCAAUGCCGCGUGCGGGAUGAAGCGGCUUCGCCGUGUAAACCGCUGUC